GAUGAACGCUGGCGGCGUGCCUAAUACAUGCAAGUCGAGCGAACAGACGAGGAGCUUGCUCCUCUGACGUUAGCGGCGGACGGGUGAGUAACACGUGGAUAACCUACCUAUAAGACUGGGAUAACUUCGGGAAACCGGAGCUAAUACCGGAUAAUAUAUUGAACCGCAUGGUUCAAUAGUGAAAGACGGUUUUGCUGUCACUUAUAGAUGGAUCCGCGCCGCAUUAGCUAGUUGGUAAGGUAACGGCUUACCAAGGCAACGAUGCGUAGCCGACCUGAGAGGGUGAUCGGCCACAGUGGAACUGAGACACGGUCCAGACUCCUACGGGAGGCAGCAGUAGGGAAUCUUCCGCAAUGGGCGAAAGCCUGACGGAGCAACGCCGCGUGAGUGAUGAAGGUCUUCGGAUCGUAAAACUCUGUUAUUAGGGAAGAACAAAUGUGUAAGUAACUAUGCACGUCUUGACGGUACCUAAUCAGAAAGCCACGGCUAACUACGU
This 496-nucleotide ribosomal RNA is filed under the name uncultured bacterium. RNAcentral describes it as "partial 16S ribosomal RNA". It matches the Rfam family "Bacterial small subunit ribosomal RNA", at positions 28 to 506 of the family's 1533-position model. The record is from RNAcentral.